UACAGAGGUCCCAAGCGUUGUUCGGAUUCAUUGGGCGUAAAGGGUGCGUAGGUGGCAGGGUAAGUUGGAUGUGAAAUCCCGGGGCUCAACCCCGGAACUGCAUUCAAUACUGCCCUGCUAGAGUACUGGAGAGGAGAUUGGAAUUCAUGGUGUAGCAGUGAAAUGCGUAGAUAUCAUGAGGAAGACCAGUGGCGAAGGCGGAUCUCUGGACUGUUACUGACACUGAGGCACGAAGGCCAGGGGAGCAAACGGG
This 253-nucleotide ribosomal RNA is filed under the name uncultured bacterium. RNAcentral describes it as "partial 16S ribosomal RNA". It matches the Rfam family "Bacterial small subunit ribosomal RNA", at positions 524 to 776 of the family's 1533-position model. The record is from RNAcentral.